ACCUUGAACUUUAAACUUAUUUUAAAUUUAAAGAAGUUUAAUUUAUUUUUGUUUUUCUAUAAGAAGUGUUCUUUUGUACAAUUUUAUUUGUUUGCUAUUAUUUGUUUUGUGAUUUUAUUUUUCUAUGACAGGUAGUUGUUUAAGAGCUCUGGUUUAAGAGUUUAAGAGUAUAUAUAUUUUAACCUUGUAUAUAGAAGGAACUAAAAAUGCACUUUGUUGUGGGAUGUAAAAAUUGCACAAGAGUAAAAGGGAAAGUUUCAUUUCACACUUUCCCUAAGAAUGCUGAUCUGCAACAGAGAUGGCUUCAUGUUAUUGGUAGAGAUCCAAAUAUGCGUAUUAUAUACCGUAGAGUUUGAUCAGAACACUUUGUAGAAAGUGAUAUUGAUAAAUCUGGGAAUAAGCUUUUACUAGUUCCAAAUGCAGCACCCAGUAGAAACUUAUCAAUUGUUCCUCCUUUAAACUGUCGCAGUAAGAAAAAUGAAAAUUGUUAUCCACCAAAUAUUAUUAAUGAGAUACUUGUGCCAUAUAUUGGUGGUAGAAAUAAUAAUAUAGUUGAUGAACCUUCAAUUAGUGGACUAAUAACAGAUCAUAUUUAUAGUAAAACAGCUAUAAGAGUUAAUUCUCCAUCUUCUGAAAUCAAAAAAUGUCCACCUAAAGCUUCGCCAUCAGAAAAAAAUAGUAUGAUAAUUGUUGAUCACACUUAUUAUAGUAUACCUAUCAUCUAAGCCUGUGCAGAUUGAGGAUCAGAUAGAUCUGCUAAAGGAAAAAAAAAUAUAUUCUUACAAACUAAAUUGAAAACUCUCAGGAGAACAAUUGUAAGAAAGGACAAGAAAAUUGCUUCAUUGAAGCAAAUUAUUAAUGAACUUAAGAAAGAAAAAAGACAUUUUUGGUAAAUUUAAUUUUUAAUUAUUGUUAAAUGUUGCAGCCUGAACACUAAGACCUAGCGUGAACAAUCAUUUUUAUUCAAAAAAUAAAUAAUUUGUUUCAGAUUCUGAAUUUAAAAAAUCUAUUUGGAAAAGGAGUUAGGAAGCAAUACUUUCUUGAUGACUGUAUAUAACAGAGGUUUCUCUAAUGUCAAUUAUCUACUACCGUAUAAGUUUAUCAGCAUUAUUUGGUAUUACUUAUUUGAUUUUUAGGAUCAGAGAUAGAGUAACAACAAUCUGAGCUGACUGAUUACUGCACUUUUUUACACUAUUACAUAGGUAUUUCUCAUUUAUGUUGACAAUAAAAAUAUGGGAAAGUGCUUUUCUAAAGACAAUACAGGUGUAAUAAGUGAGAAGAAAAUCUUAAAUUUAAUUAAAAAAAAUUAUACUCUAAAUUAUUUUUCUCAA
Molecule: long non-coding RNA, 1331 nt
Organism: Sitophilus oryzae (rice weevil)
Lineage: Eukaryota; Metazoa; Arthropoda; Insecta; Coleoptera; Curculionidae
Exons: 6
Source: RefSeq, a predicted model, not a curated record